This 253-nucleotide ribosomal RNA is filed under the name uncultured bacterium. Its description in RNAcentral is "partial 16S ribosomal RNA". It matches the Rfam family "Bacterial small subunit ribosomal RNA", at positions 524 to 776 of the family's 1533-position model. The record is from RNAcentral.
GACAGAGGAGCCAAGCGUUGUCCGGAUUGACUGGGCGUAAAGCGCACGCAGGCGGUCAUGCACGUGGGGUGUGAAAACUGGCGGCUUAACUGCCAGAGGCCACCUCAUACGGCGCGACUCGAGCCCGUGAGAGGUCCAUGGAAUUGCCGGUGUAGUGGUGAAAUGCGUAGAGAUCGGCAGGAACACCCAGGGAGAAAUCAGUGGACUGGCACGGUGCUGACGCUCAGGUGCGAAAGCGUGGGGAGCGAACCGG